GGGGAUGUUUUUGGGAUUCGACAGGCGUAGAUUCGCAUUGACUGCGAUUCGUAGGUUACGUCUACGUAAAAACGUUACAGUUAAAUAUAACUGCAAAUAACAAAAAUUCUUACGCAUUAGCUGCUUAAUUUAGCGCAUGCGUUGCUCUUUGUCGGUUUACUCGUGGCUGACACUGAGUAUCAACUUUAGCGAGUUACGUUUAACUAUCUCACCUGAAUAGUUGAAAAGAGUCUUAACAGGUUAGCUAGCUCAUCCUAGCCCUGUUAUAUGGCGUUUUGAGCUAGUGAAGUUCAAGUAAUAUAACUAUGAUCGUAGAGGUCAGUGACGGAAUGCGUCUGGACAGGGGUUCAACUCCCCUCAUCUCCAUCG
This 369-nucleotide transfer-messenger RNA is filed under the name Lactobacillus helveticus. RNAcentral describes it as "Standard tmRNA". It matches the Rfam family "transfer-messenger RNA". From Rfam's summary of the family: Bacterial tmRNA, also known as 10Sa RNA or SsrA, is named for its dual tRNA and mRNA-like properties. Its role is to liberate the mRNA from a stalled ribosome. Lineage: Bacteria; Bacillati; Bacillota; Bacilli; Lactobacillales; Lactobacillaceae. RNAcentral also lists the same sequence under 4 other names. The record is from RNAcentral.